GCAGCUGCCCCCCGGGAACGUGAGGGGAGAUUAAGUGGGCACAGGCAGGGAGCGUGAGAUUCUCCCCAGUUGUGCCUCUUCAAGGGCAAAAAGUGUGUUGCCUUCUUGUUUACACACAUACGCGCACACACACACACACACACACACCAGGCGGUUCCUGGUACAUCCGGUGCCUGAGGCCCAGGUCUGUUGGGACCUAAAGUUCCAGGGGUCAGUAGGCUCCUGUCAAGGCUCACCCCCUGCCAGAGGCUGGCGGGGGGCAAAGCAGGACAAACAGCAUGGAUUACCCGAGCAGCCAGAACCCACCCUCCUGCCAGUCCAGGGUGGACCUAAAGCUCCCGGUCUCCACCCACUGGGGAGUCGCCUUGUCCUUUCCGCAGGGUGGAGGGGACACUUAAUGUUUUUUUAGGAAGAGUCAUGAUUAAUCAUUGCUGCGCUUCCACACUGGACACUGAGCGAAGGCCUUUUGUAAUUCCCCAUAAAGUCGUAGCGUCGACACUGGGUUCCAGAUGAGGAACCCAAGGCCAGGGAAGCUCGGAGGGCACAGCUGGGGGUGAGCAGCUCCUCAUCCAGGGCUCGCUCCCAAGCUCCCAGCUUCUCUCUGUCCUGCUCCUCGGCGCCUUGUGUGUCACACCUGGACUGUGACUGGGAAGCCACCUCCCCACCUGCUCUCCCCUCCAUCCUGCCUGGGACGGCAGCAAGACCUAAGAUCCCGCCCUCGCCUGCAAAUGCCACGUCCAGAGCAAGAAGAGGAAGCACCGCGGCUCCUCCGGCUUCCGCAGAGCCCAGUCCUGGUUCCCAAAGGGACAAUUCUCCAGAACAGCAGCCGUUUUACUGGACAGUAUCAGAUCCGAAAAGGAGUUGAGACCCAGUGGAUCAGACCCUAGCUUAGGGCUACUCCGAUCUGGGUUCAGACCCCUGCUCUGUCCCUUUAUAGAAGUGGGGAUGGACCCCAGCGCUCACAUGUGGUGGUGGGGGGCUCUGCCCUGCCCUUCACCCCCAGCCCUUUUAAAAUCAUUAUUUUGAGACAGGGUCUCACUAAGUUGCCCAGGCUGGCCUUGAGCUUGUGACCCAGGCCAGUGCCACCAUACCUGGCUCAGUUAACUCUUCCUCUUAAUUGUCUGUAGAAUGGAGGUAAUGCAGACUCUCAAGGUGAUUGGGGAGGUUAAAAAUAGUACUUAGAAAGUUCUAGAACAGGCCAUGGCAUUAAC
Molecule: long non-coding RNA, 1211 nt
Filed under: Marmota monax (woodchuck)
Lineage: Eukaryota; Metazoa; Chordata; Mammalia; Rodentia; Sciuridae
Source: RNAcentral